UAUAGACACGCAUCAGAUGGGUCAUGGUCCCCCGGUUUUAGGAUUUAGGAGUGCCCCUCUGGAGAGCAAACCAUCUGCCCCAGGCGUCGAUGGUCGCCUAGUCCCAGUUCGUCGGAACUCGGAAACCACGUCGUCCACCUCCCACCACUCCACCUCCCUCCCUACCCACUCCUGUUCCCAACCGCCGCUCUAUCUCCUUCUCGCCGACGCCGCCACCGCGCCCAACGACGCCGCCGUUCGGCGCAAGAUUGUUGUCCCGAUGGCGGGGGUUGAGCCGCCCGCGUCGACCCCGAUCGGCGGGCGGUUGGCGGCCCGAGGGCUGAGGCCGAGGAGGGUCUCCGCCAAGCGCUCCUGGCCGCCCGGCUGCGGUCGCUUCCCCGCUGCCCCGCCUGCCCCGGAGGCCGGCGACGGCGAGACGGGCGCAGCCGUUGUCGUCGAGGGCACAGCGGAGGAGGCGACCGGCCGCUCGGGCGUUUCUUCCGUGGUGUGCAACGGCGACCUCCCACCUACCCUCGAGGCCGGCGACGGCGAGAAGGGCGCCACCGUUGUCGUCAAGGGCACAGCGGAGGAGACGACCGGCCGCUCGGGCGUUUCUUCCGCUGUGUGCAACGGAGACCUCCCACAUACCCCCGAGGCUGGCGACGGCGAGAAGGGCGCCGCCGUUGUCUUCGAGGGCACAGCGGUGUGCAACGGCGAUCUCCCACCCACCCCCGAGGCUGGCGACGGCGAGGAGAUCCUCGAGGGCAAAGCGGAGGAGGCAGCCGGCCACGCGGGCGUUUCCUCCUUGUCAUGCAACGGCAGCCUACCGCACACCAUGCCUAAGCCGGAAGCUGAGGGGGUGGUUGGCGAGAUGAAGGAGGGUGGAGAGGCACAAUUACCUGGCGGUUCUGAUGUGCGUCCAUUGAGUGACCAGGUAGAGAACAUGGCGAUUGACGUGAUGCCGCUGGCGUUCGCUGUCCGGCAGAGUUUUACUGUUGCUGCUGUGAAUGGUUCAGUUGAGAACGGGGUGGAUGGGAUCGAGCCGUUGCCGAUGGAGGGGAGGGAAGGCCUGGGCAGUGGUCAAUUGGUCAAGGAGGAGGAUGUGCCUAGCAAUGGGGAUGGCAGGGUGAUGGGAAGCAGAGAUGCACAAUUGGAGAGGGAAGAGGAAGGGCAUGUUGCAGUCAGAAAGAAGAGGUGGUUGACGUCUGUUGUGAAUCCACCUCCCAAGAGAAGGGCCAUCUCAGCCAUUCGCAAAUUUCCACCUGGCUGUGGGAGGGCUGCUGUUACUGGCACUGGCAGUAGAGUCGAGGAAGGGUUGGUAUUGGAAGCCACACCUAUCAGUUUCGCUAGUGGGAGUGCCUCUGUGGCGGAUGACUCGUCCAUGGUUCCAGUUCCAAGUCAUGGUGCUUCUUCAGUGUCCGUGCGAGAUAUCUCUAAUGAAACAGAAGAUAAGAGUGCGGAGGGGAAGCAUGUAGCCAAGGACGGUGAGCUGAGAGACAAAUGCGAAGGAAGCUCGCUAGAAGGUACUCCUAAGACUUAUAAGGGAGGUGGUGUUCUUGUUGAUGCAAAGACAAAUGGCAAGCGACCAAAGAGUAUCACCAUUGAUGAGACAUUGCUAGAUGAUGUAAGGGUCUCCGGAGACGGCACAUCAAGAAACAAGACUCCAAGCACUCAGAGAGGAGUCAGGCACUCAAAUAUUAACAUGAAGCAUGGCUUGGCUGGUUCUAAGUUGAAGAGUGAUGGCAUAGGCAAUGACUCUUCGAAUAGGUCUUCUAAGGAGAAGUGUGCAAAUCAUGUUGUGACCGAUCAGAUUGAAGAAGAUGAUGAUUUGAACUUUGUUACUGACAUGCCAAUUGUACAAGCAUUGAUGGCACCAGACAUAUGUCCUUGGACACAAGGAAGGAAGUCUAUUACUGGUGUUUCUAAGUCUAGUACUCCUAGGAGCAAGAACAAGCUAAAGAAAAAGGUUUCUACGCCAAGUGAAAAGUUGCCCCCCAAAGUGAGCCCUUCUACAUCAACCAAGCAUGAGACAAUCGAGGACAAAGAAUAUCCUGAAAAAUUGCCCCCUAAAGUGAGCCCUUCUACAUCAACCAAGCAUGAGACAAUCGAGGACAAAGAAUAUCCUUGCUCGGAAGAUGAUGGCGACUCUAUGGCAUUAGGUGUGGUUGAAAGAAAGAAUGAAUUGUGUGUCACCCUCCCUCCUUGUGCUCCGUCUGGGGACCAGAGUGUUGAUGCUCGGAGCAAAGUCAAGAAGUUGCUCAAAUUGUUCCAAUUGAUUUGUCGGAAGCUUGUACAAACAGAGGAGCAACAGGCACGUAGGGUUGGAAGAAUUGACAUUGAGGCCGUCAAUGCUAUAAAGAGCAACUGUGAGUAUUACUCUAAGCCCGGGCCUAUCGUUGGCAAUGUUCCCGGUGUUGAUGUUGGUGAUGAAUUUCACUUUAGAGUCGAGUUGUCAAUUAUUGGACUACACCGGCCAUACCAAGGAGGUAUUGACACUACCAAGGUGAAUGGAAUACCCAUUGCAAUAAGCAUAGUCGCUUCCGGAGGGUAUCCUGACGAAUUGCCGAGCUCAGACGAGUUAAUAUAUACUGGCUCGGGUGGUAAGGCUAUUGGAAAGAAGGAGGCGGAAGAUCAAAAGCUUGAGCGUGGCAACCUUGCUUUGAAGAAUUGCAUCAAAACUCAAACUCCGGUCCGAGUGACUCAUGGGUUCAAAGGUCAAAGUAGAGGUGAAGUCGGGCAUUCCAAAUCGAAGCAAGUUUCAACAUACACUUAUGAUGGGUUGUAUGUGGUGGUGGAAUGUUGGCAAGAAGGAGCAAAGGGCUCUAUGGUCUUUAAGUACAAGUUAAAAAGGAUACCGGGUCAACCUGAAUUAGCUUUACACAUAGUCAAGGAGACAAGGAAGUCCAAAAUUCGCAAAGGUCUUUGUUGUCCUGAUAUAUCUGAAGGAAAAGAGAGGAUUCCCAUAUGUGUGAUCAACACAAUUGAUGACUUGCAGCCAACACCAUUUAAGUAUAUUACCAAAGUCAUAUAUCCUCCUCCGUAUGCAAAAGAUCCCCCGGAAGGCUGUGACUGCACUAACGGCUGCUCGGACUCUAAUAGAUGUGCUUGUGCAGUGAAGAAUGGAGGGGAAAUCCCAUUCAACUUUAAUGGUGCAAUUGUUCAUGCAAAGCCCCUCAUAUAUGAAUGUGGCCCAUCAUGCAGGUGCCCUCCAACAUGCCACAAUAGGGUGAGCCAGCAUGGCGUCAAAAUUCCGCUGGAAAUAUUCAAGACAGGGGAGACUGGUUGGGGUGUAAGAUCUCUCAGUUCGAUCUCCUCAGGCAGUUUCAUAUGCGAGUAUGGAGGUGAGCUGUUACAAGAUACAGAAGCUGAAAAGAGAGAGAAUGAUGAGUACCUGUUUGAUAUUGGUCAUAAUUAUGACGAUGAAGAACUUUGGAAGGGGCUUCCAUCAAUGAUUCCGGGUUUAGAAUCUGCUACCCCUGAGACAAUGGAGGAUGAUGUAGGCUUCACAAUAGAUGCCGCAAUAUCUGGUAAUGUUGGAAGAUUCAUCAACCACAGUUGCUCUCCAAACCUGUAUGCACAAAAUGUCCUCUGGGACCAUGAUGACAAGAGGAUGCCACACAUUAUGUUUUUUGCUGCGGAGAAUAUUCCUCCACUUCAAGAGCUGACUUACCACUAUAAUUAUACCAUAGGUCAAGUUCGUGACAAGAAUGGUGUGGAGAAGGAAAAAAAGUGCUUCUGUGGUUCUUCCGAUUGCUGUGGCAGGCUUUACUAAGUUAUAUUGGUGACUACUGAUGCUAAUGUUCAUAUUCAGUGGAAGGCAGUCCUAUCAUGACCGUGCUCAUUUGCUUCUCUUCUGGUUUACCUUGCACUCACUCAUGACACGCAGUGUCUAGUCUCUGUGCCACACAACUGUUACUUGUUACUGCAUUUUGAAGAGCAUCUCAGUUCCAGUACAGCUCACCCUUUUUGGUGCGUGAGACUUUGAACGAGUAAUCUGAAAUGUCCAGGAACAACAAAUGGUGAUGCCAGGCCAUCGUGAGUCAAACCUGCAGAAUGAAUUCAGCAGAUACAUGCCUACUGCUGCUGCUGCACUUGGUGUGGUAUGAAUUGGCGGACUGACUGUUCUGGCUGGUUGCAAAGGGCGAACCGAGCUAGGUUUCUUCAGUUUUUUAUAUCGUAGCAGAAGCAUCAAGCCAAGCUACUGUCCAAUCUUCUUGCCAGGCAAUACUGCUUUUGCCAGCUGUUGUGGUUGUAACCGAAUUACCUAAGUCAGUUUAGGUUGCCUAACUUAUUUACAGUGACAAUUUUGUAGAUACUGCUUUUAUUUUCAAGCCAGUAUGGUCGCACAUGUCCUUUCCAAGCACGGUCAAGGCCCUCAUCAAUCUUCUUCAGUAGCCUUCUCAUGCCUUUUGACUACAUAUGGCAACUGGAUGUUCUGGGAUAAAUUUAGUCGGCUGGAGUUGAAUAUAUGGUUCUCUUUGCUUAAGAUAA
Molecule: RNA transcript, 4470 nt
Organism: Brachypodium distachyon (stiff brome)
Lineage: Eukaryota; Viridiplantae; Streptophyta; Magnoliopsida; Poales; Poaceae
Exons: 4
Source: RefSeq, a predicted model, not a curated record